RNAcentral lists this ribosomal RNA (253 nucleotides) under uncultured bacterium. Its description in RNAcentral is "partial 16S ribosomal RNA". It matches the Rfam family "Bacterial small subunit ribosomal RNA", at positions 524 to 776 of the family's 1533-position model. The record is from RNAcentral.
UACGUAGGGUGCAAGCGUUAAUCGGAAUUACUGGGCGUAAAGAGUGCGUAGGCGGCUAUAUAAGACAGAUGUGAAAUCCCUGGGCUUAACCUAGGAACUGCAUUUGUGACUGCAUGGCUAGAGUGUGGUAGAGGGAGAUGGAAUUCCGCAUGUAGCAGUGAAAUGCGUAGAUAUGCGGAGGAGCACCAAUGGCGAAGGCAAUCUCCUGGACCUGCACUGACGCUCAUGCACGAAAGCGUGGGGAGCAAACAGG